This 216-nucleotide ribosomal RNA is filed under the name Glomeromycotina sp. RNAcentral's name for it is "partial small subunit ribosomal RNA". The stretch from base 44 to 216 matches the Rfam family "Eukaryotic small subunit ribosomal RNA", at positions 690 to 864 of the family's 1831-position model. Lineage: Eukaryota; Fungi; Glomeromycota. The record is from RNAcentral.
GGGUCAGUAGGUUGGUCGUGCCACCGGUACGUACUGGUCUCACUGAUUCCUCCUUCCUGAAGAACCGUAAUGCCAUUAAUUUGGUGUUGCGGGGAAACAGGACUGUUACUUUGAAAAAAUUAGAGUGUUUAAAGCAAGCUAACGCUUGAAUACAUUAGCCCGGAAUAAUGAAAUAGGACGAUCGAUCCUAUUUUGUUGGUUUCUAGGAUUGACGUA